RNAcentral lists this ribosomal RNA (1542 nucleotides) under Enterobacter hormaechei. RNAcentral's name for it is "bacterial SSU rRNA". It matches the Rfam family "Bacterial small subunit ribosomal RNA". Lineage: Bacteria; Pseudomonadati; Pseudomonadota; Gammaproteobacteria; Enterobacterales; Enterobacteriaceae. The record is from RNAcentral.
AAAUUGAAGAGUUUGAUCAUGGCUCAGAUUGAACGCUGGCGGCAGGCCUAACACAUGCAAGUCGAACGGUAACAGGAAGCAGCUUGCUGCUUCGCUGACGAGUGGCGGACGGGUGAGUAAUGUCUGGGAAACUGCCUGAUGGAGGGGGAUAACUACUGGAAACGGUAGCUAAUACCGCAUAACGUCGCAAGACCAAAGAGGGGGACCUUAGGGCCUCUUGCCAUCGGAUGUGCCCAGAUGGGAUUAGCUAGUAGGUGGGGUAACGGCUCACCUAGGCGACGAUCCCUAGCUGGUCUGAGAGGAUGACCAGCCACACUGGAACUGAGACACGGUCCAGACUCCUACGGGAGGCAGCAGUGGGGAAUAUUGCACAAUGGGCGCAAGCCUGAUGCAGCCAUGCCGCGUGUAUGAAGAAGGCCUUCGGGUUGUAAAGUACUUUCAGCGGGGAGGAAGGCGAUAAGGUUAAUAACCUUGUCGAUUGACGUUACCCGCAGAAGAAGCACCGGCUAACUCCGUGCCAGCAGCCGCGGUAAUACGGAGGGUGCAAGCGUUAAUCGGAAUUACUGGGCGUAAAGCGCACGCAGGCGGUCUGUCAAGUCGGAUGUGAAAUCCCCGGGCUCAACCUGGGAACUGCAUUCGAAACUGGCAGGCUAGAGUCUUGUAGAGGGGGGUAGAAUUCCAGGUGUAGCGGUGAAAUGCGUAGAGAUCUGGAGGAAUACCGGUGGCGAAGGCGGCCCCCUGGACAAAGACUGACGCUCAGGUGCGAAAGCGUGGGGAGCAAACAGGAUUAGAUACCCUGGUAGUCCACGCCGUAAACGAUGUCGACUUGGAGGUUGUGCCCUUGAGGCGUGGCUUCCGGAGCUAACGCGUUAAGUCGACCGCCUGGGGAGUACGGCCGCAAGGUUAAAACUCAAAUGAAUUGACGGGGGCCCGCACAAGCGGUGGAGCAUGUGGUUUAAUUCGAUGCAACGCGAAGAACCUUACCUACUCUUGACAUCCAGAGAACUUUCCAGAGAUGGAUUGGUGCCUUCGGGAACUCUGAGACAGGUGCUGCAUGGCUGUCGUCAGCUCGUGUUGUGAAAUGUUGGGUUAAGUCCCGCAACGAGCGCAACCCUUAUCCUUUGUUGCCAGCGGUCCGGCCGGGAACUCAAAGGAGACUGCCAGUGAUAAACUGGAGGAAGGUGGGGAUGACGUCAAGUCAUCAUGGCCCUUACGAGUAGGGCUACACACGUGCUACAAUGGCGCAUACAAAGAGAAGCGACCUCGCGAGAGCAAGCGGACCUCAUAAAGUGCGUCGUAGUCCGGAUUGGAGUCUGCAACUCGACUCCAUGAAGUCGGAAUCGCUAGUAAUCGUGGAUCAGAAUGCCACGGUGAAUACGUUCCCGGGCCUUGUACACACCGCCCGUCACACCAUGGGAGUGGGUUGCAAAAGAAGUAGGUAGCUUAACCUUCGGGAGGGCGCUUACCACUUUGUGAUUCAUGACUGGGGUGAAGUCGUAACAAGGUAACCGUAGGGGAACCUGCGGUUGGAUCACCUCCUUA